This 24-nucleotide non-coding RNA is filed under the name Arabidopsis thaliana (thale cress). The record is from RNAcentral. Lineage: Eukaryota; Viridiplantae; Streptophyta; Magnoliopsida; Brassicales; Brassicaceae.
AACACCACCUACACAAAGGGCUCC